RNAcentral lists this ribosomal RNA (464 nucleotides) under Vreelandella stevensii. RNAcentral's name for it is "partial 16S ribosomal RNA". It matches the Rfam family "Bacterial small subunit ribosomal RNA", at positions 338 to 794 of the family's 1533-position model. The record is from RNAcentral. Lineage: Bacteria; Pseudomonadati; Pseudomonadota; Gammaproteobacteria; Oceanospirillales; Halomonadaceae.
CCUACGGGGCGCUGCAGUGGGGAAUAUUGGACAAUGGGCGAAAGCCUGAUCCAGCCAUGCCGCGUGUGUGAAGAAGGCCUUCGGGUUGUAAAGCACUUUCAGUGGGGAAGAAAGCCUUGGGGCUAAUACCCUCGAGGAAGGACAUCACCCACAGAAGAAGCACCGGCUAACUCCGUGCCAGCAGCCGCGGUAAUACGGAGGGUGCGAGCGUUAAUCGGAAUUACUGGGCGUAAAGCGCGCGUAGGCGGUCUGAUAAGCCGGUUGUGAAAGCCCCGGGCUCAACCUGGGAACGGCAUCCGGAACUGUCAGGCUAGAGUGCAGGAGAGGAAGGUAGAAUUCCCGGUGUAGCGGUGAAAUGCGUAGAGAUCGGGAGGAAUACCAGUGGCGAAGGCGGCCUUCUGGACUGACACUGACGCUGAGGUGCGAAAGCGUGGGUAGCAAACAGGAUUAGAUACCCGGGUAGU